GUGCUACUCUAUGCAUACUUUUUUUUUUCGUUCCACACUUCUGAUCAAGGAAAACUUCAGCACCAUAUUUGUUUAAUGUUUUCAAAGUCAAAGGAAAUACAGUUUUGCUAGCCAAAUACUUCAAAAGGCCAGGGAAGUAAUAAUUAGCCAAAUGAUAGAUGUGCAGUCAUAUCACACCCAAACACAGUUAAUAAAACAAUUGUCCCUCUAAAAAGUAUCCUCAGCCAGAC
Pelobates cultripes (western spadefoot toad) is the source of this 230-nucleotide non-coding RNA. The record is from the annotation of a GenBank genome assembly. Lineage: Eukaryota; Metazoa; Chordata; Amphibia; Anura; Pelobatidae.